RNAcentral lists this ribosomal RNA (1319 nucleotides) under uncultured Alphaproteobacteria bacterium. RNAcentral describes it as "uncultured alpha proteobacterium 16S ribosomal RNA". It matches the Rfam family "Bacterial small subunit ribosomal RNA", at positions 33 to 1399 of the family's 1533-position model. Lineage: Bacteria; Pseudomonadati; Pseudomonadota; Alphaproteobacteria. The record is from RNAcentral.
ACGCUGGCGGCACGCCUAACACAUGCAAGUCGAACGAAGUAGCAAUACUUAGUGGCAGACGGGUGAGUAACAUGUAGGUAUCUGCCCUUUGGCCUGGAAUAACACGAGGAAACUUGUGCUAAUACCGGAUAAGUCUUUACGGAGAAAGCUUUAUGCACCAUUGGAUGAGCCUGCACUUGAUUAGUUUGUUGGUGGGGUAAUGGCCUACCAAGACUGUGAUCAAUAGCUGAUUUGAGAGGAUGAUCAGCCACAUUGGGACUGAGACACGGCCCAAACUCCUACGGGAGGCAGCAGUGGGGAAUCUUGCACAAUGGAGGAAACUCUGAUGCAGCGAUGCCGCGUGAGUGAAGAAGGCCCUUGGGUUGUAAAGCUCUUUCGUCGGGGAAGAAAAUGACUGUACCCGAAUAAGAAGGUCCGGCUAACUUCGUGCCAGCAGCCGCGGUAAUACGAAGGGACCUAGCGUAGUUCGGAAUUACUGGGCUUAAAGAGUUCGUAGGUGGUUGAAAUAGUUGGUGGUGAAAUCCCAGAGCUUAACUCUGGAACUGCCAUCAAAACUUUUCAGCUAGAGUAUGAUAGAGGAAAGCAGAAUUUCUAGUGUAGAGGUGAAAUUCGUAGAUAUUAGAAAGAAUACCAAUUGCGAAGGCAGCUUUCUGGAUCAUUACUGACACUGAGGAACGAAAGCAUGGGUAGCGAAGAGGAUUAGAUACCCUCGUAGUCCAUGCCGUAAACGAUGUGUGUUAGACGUUGGAAAUUUAUUUUCAGUGUCGCAGGGAAACCGAUAAACACACCGCCUGGGGAGUACGACCGCAAGGUUAAAACUCAAAUGAAUUGACGGGGACCCGCACAAGUAGUGGAGCAUGUGGUUUAAUUCGAAGAUACGCGCAGAACCUUACCAACACUUGACAUGUUCGUCGCGACUCUAAGAGAUUAGAGUUUUCGGUUCGGCCGGACGAAACACAGGUGCUGCAUGGCUGUCGUCAGCUCGUGUCGUGAGAUGUUGGGUUAAGUCCCGCAACGAGCGCAACCCUCACUUUUAGUUGCCAUCAUUAAGUUGGGCACUCUGAAAGAACUGCCAGUGAUAAGCUGGAGGAAGGUGGGGAUGACGUCAAGUCCUCAUGGCCCUUACGUGUUGGGCUACACACGUGCUACAAUGGUAUCUACAACAGGAAGCAAGACUGCGAAGUUAAGCAAAUCCCUAAAAGAUACCUCAGUUCGGAUUGCACUCUGCAACUCGAGUGCAUGAAGCUGGAAUUACUAGUAAUCGUGGAUCAGCGUGCCACGGUGAAUGCGUUCCCGGGUCUUGUACACACCGCCCGUCA